RNAcentral lists this unclassified non-coding RNA (811 nucleotides) under Hevea brasiliensis (rubber tree). Lineage: Eukaryota; Viridiplantae; Streptophyta; Magnoliopsida; Malpighiales; Euphorbiaceae. The record is from RNAcentral.
AAAAAAAAAAAAUACAUAUUAUGAAAUCUAUGAAAAUAGAUUGUAGGCUUCUUUGAAUUUUAGAUAACCAUCCAAGUAGACCAUAAAAGCAUGUUAUGGUGCUUAUCUGAUGGAUUAUUGUUUGGGUGAAUUUGCAUUUCUGACCUGUUAAUGAUUAUGAUGCAGUCUGCUUUUCAUGAAAAUAUUUGUGUUUUGGUAGCAAUUUUGGGAAUAUAUGAACUGUAUGCAAUUGAAUUCUUACAUAUUGAAGAUCUGUAAUGAAUUUCCGUACUGCUAUAAUCAAUCAAGCAAGCCAACAAAAAAGUAUUGUUGCUUUACUUGUUUUGUCAUUUCCUCUUUCUGGAUCAAAGUUUCAGCUUUUGCGUUCUUGUUAUUUCUGGAGUGAUAGUUUAGAAAUCUGUACUGCAUAGAAUAGCACCAUGGAAAGACCAAAAGUGAGCAUGUUGGUUUUAGGUCCAUUUGUAGCCCAGUGAGAUGACCUUUUAAUUUUCAGCUAAUUGAGAACUGGGAAACCUGAAAUGGCAAAUAUGAAUUUAUAAUGUCAGAUUUCUCGGCCCAUUGGUGCUAGAUCAAAAAUUUCUGGUCUCUCUUUUAUCACUGCUCUUGUUGUCUAGUAAACCAAGAUUUCCCUUCAUAAACUUUGAUGCUUUGUCUAAUAUUGAGUAUUUUCCGCCUUCUAUGAUUAAAGAAAUUUAAACCUGUUAAUAUAUGCUUGACCAGAGAAGGAGAAUAGUCCAAGGACAGUGAAAGAUCUCAAGUUAAUAAGUGCGGGAAAAAUACUGGAGAACAACAUAACUGUGGGGGAAUGCCG